AACGCUGGCGGCGUGCCUAACACAUGCAAGUCGAACGGAACGAAAAAGAGCUUGCUCUUGGCGUUUAGUGGCGGACGGGUGAGUAACACGUGAGUAACCUGCCUUCAGAGGGGAAUAAUGUCUGGAAACGGACACUAAUACCGCAUAAUGUAUUUUAACCGCAUGGUUGAGAUACCAAAGGAGCAAUCCGCUGAAAGAUGGACUCGCGUCUGAUUAGCCAGUUGGCGGGGUAACGGCCCACCAAAGCGACGAUCAGUAGCCGGACUGAGAGGUUGAACGGCCACAUUGGGACUGAGACACGGCCCAGACUCCUACGGGAGGCAGCAGUGGGGGAUAUUGCACAAUGGGCGCAAGCCUGAUGCCAGCAACGCCGCGUGCAAGGAAGACGGUCUUCGGAUUAGUAAACUGUUGUCCUCUGUGACGAUAAUGACGGUAGCAGAGGAGGAAGCCACGGCUAACUACGUGCCAGCCGCGGC
Molecule: ribosomal RNA, 476 nt
Filed under: uncultured bacterium
Lineage: Bacteria
Description: bacterial SSU rRNA
Rfam family: Bacterial small subunit ribosomal RNA
Source: RNAcentral